RNAcentral lists this ribosomal RNA (322 nucleotides) under uncultured archaeon. RNAcentral describes it as "bacterial SSU rRNA". It matches the Rfam family "Archaeal small subunit ribosomal RNA", at positions 19 to 346 of the family's 1478-position model. The record is from RNAcentral.
GGACCCGACUGCUAUCAGAGUGGGGCUAAGCCAUGCGAGUCAACGCCGUAAGGCGUGGCGUACGGCUCAGUAACACGUAGUCAACAUGCCCAAGGGACGUGGAUAACCUCGGGAAACUGAGGAUAAACCGCGAUAGGCCAAGAUUUCUGGAAUGGAUCAUGGCUGAAAUCUAUAUGGCCCUUGGAUUGGACUGCGGCCGAUCAGGCUGUUGGUGGGGUAAUGGCCCACCAAACCUAUAACCGGUACGGGCUUUGAGAGAAGGAGCCCGGAGAUGGGCACUGAGACAAGGGCCCAGGCCCUACGGGGCGCAGCAGGCGCGAUG